GACCAAGAAGUCUAACAUGUGUGCGAGUCAUUGGGUAUUUUGUUGAAACCUAAGGGCGUAAUUAAAAUAACUAUUUUAUGGGAUUACAAGUGAAUUAAAUUUCAUUUCUUCAUCCCGGGGCGUUCUAUACGAACAUGGUGCAAGCAAUUGAACCCUCUGUUCAAGAGCGUACCUUGAGCAUACAUGCUGUGACCCGAAAGAUGGUGAACUAUACCUGAUCAGAUCGAAGCCAGGAGAAAUUCUGGUGGAGGAUCGAAACAGUUCUGACGUGCAAAUCGAUUGUCAGAAUUGGGUAUAGGGGCGAAAGACCAAUCGAACCAUCUAGUAGCUGGUUCCCUCCGAAGUUUCCCUCAGGAUAGCUGGCGCAAAGAAUUAUAUUGUAUAUAAUCUUAUCUGGUAAAGCGAAUGAUUAGAGGCCUUGGGGCCGAAACGACCUCAACCUAUUCUCAAACUUUAAAUGGGUAAGAACCUCAUCUUUCUUGAUCUGAAGAUAUUGGGGUUUAGAUAUAUUGUGCCCAGUGGGCCACUUUUGGUAAGCAGAACUGGCGCUGUGGGAUGAACCAAACAUGAUGUUACGGCGCCUAAAUUAAUGACUCAUAUUGAUACCAUGAAAGGCGUUGGUUGCUUAAAACAGCAGGACGGUGGACAUGGAAGUCGUAAUCCGCUAAGGAGUGUGUAACAACUCACCUGCCGAAGCAACUAGCCCUUAAAAUGGAUGGCGCUCAAGUCAUAUGCCUAUACAUCAUCGCUAGAAUAAAAAUUGUUGACCAUUCGGUCAUCAUUAUGAAAUUCUAGUGAGUAGGAGGGUACAAUGGUGUGCGCAGAAGUGUUUGGCGUGAGCCUGCAUGAAGCCGCCAUUGGCACAGAUCUUGGUGGUAGUAGCAAAUAAUCGAAUGAGAUCUUGGAGGACUGAAGUGGAGAAGGGUUUCGUGUGAACAGUGGUUGAUCACGAGUUAGUCGGUCCUAAGCUUUAUGCGAAAGCUGUUUAAUUUAUGUUACACACAAUAUUUUUGUUGUACAUAAUUCAAUAAAAGCGAAAGGGAAUACGGUUCCAAUUCCGUAACCUGUUGAGUAUACGUUUGUUUAUUAAAAAUGGGUCUUAUUACACUCAUCCUGGCAACAGGAACGACCAUAGAGAAGCCUUCGAGAGAUACUGGAAGAGUUUUCUUUUCUGCUAAACAAACGUAUCACCAUGGAAGUCUUUUAUAGAGAGAUAUGGUGGAUGGCUUGGAAGAGCAUGACAUUUACUGUUGUGUCAGUAUUUUCUCCUUGGACCUUGAAAAUCUAUGGUGGGGCCACGCAAACUUCUCAACAGACCGUACCGAUAUCCGCAG
RNAcentral lists this ribosomal RNA (1334 nucleotides) under Bradysiopsis vittigera. RNAcentral describes it as "eukaryotic LSU rRNA". It matches the Rfam family "Eukaryotic large subunit ribosomal RNA", at positions 664 to 1859 of the family's 3401-position model. Lineage: Eukaryota; Metazoa; Arthropoda; Insecta; Diptera; Sciaridae. The record is from RNAcentral.